RNA transcript from Gallus gallus (chicken), 4734 nucleotides. It is a transcript of the gene named CD200 molecule, with no coding region annotated. NCBI's taxonomy places the organism in Eukaryota, Metazoa, Chordata, Aves, Galliformes, Phasianidae. The transcript has 13 exons. The record is from RefSeq and is marked provisional.
GGUGGGCAUGGAACGGGCUGCCCAGGGCUGUGGGCACGGCCUCAGGCUGCUGGAGUUCAAGGACUGUUUGACACAGCUCUCAGCCACGGGGUUUGGAUUUUGGGUGGUGCUGUGUGGAGCCGGGAGCUGGAUUCAUUUCUCAUGGAAUCUUUCGAGUUGGAAGGGACUUCUAAAAGCCACCUAGUCCAACUGCCCUGCGAUGAAUUGAUUGUUAUGAAUCUCUUCUAACUUAGGAUAUUCUGUGAUUCUGUAAAUUUUCUCUGUUUUGCUGUUUUUUUGCAUGUUUUUAGGUGUAUCUGAACAUCUUAGGGAGGUGCUCGAGUAUCUGAAUGUGCUCUCUCACGUGGCAGAUGCGUUAUUCACUGUGCUUGCUGCAGAUGCAGUUGUCUAGUUUCUGAUUUCUUGAUUUUACACAACUUGACAUCACCAUUCAGACAUUCUUACAGACCAAAAUUGGGCUUAUUAACACAGUGAGUUUGAAAUGCAAAGGUGAAGCAGAUACUCUCUUUCAAAAUGACUUUCCAAGCCCUGGUUUUGAGUUUGGUUUGUGUUGUGCUUGGAAAGGCAAAAGUGGUUACGCAGACUGAGCAAAGAGUGGUGAAGGCGGGCAACAGUGUGACUCUCAGCUGCGCCCUGACAGAGCCCAAGGACAUUGUGCAAGUGACGUGGCAGAAAGACUAUGUAAAAUCACCAAGUAACAUAGCUACAUACAGCAAGUCAACAGGAUUAAAGAUUCAGAAGCCCUACCAAAACCGGAUGAAUUUAACCAGCCUGAUGCUCAACAACACAAGCAUCACUUUCUGGAACGCAAGAAUAGACGACACAGGGUGUUACUUGUGCUUGUUCAACACCUUCCCUUUGGGCUCCUUUUUAGGACGUUCUUGCCUUCAAGUCUAUGGUCUCAAUGCAUCUAUCCACUACAACGUUUCAGAAGGUCAUCUGAUAGCCACCUGUAGUGCUGUUGGCUACCCAGAACCCACCAUCAGCUGGAACAAUGUGUUCAAUUAUACUCCUACACAGGAGAAGUUCACAUAUGAAAAUGGAGUCGUGUCCAUCACCAGUGAACUGAAGGUCUAUGACUCUCAGAACAUCAGCAAGGAAGACUUGACCUGCAGAGUAAGCAACGAGAGUGAAGAAAUGGAAUUGCCCAUAAGUAUGAAAAAAAAAGAGGGAUUAAGGUUCUUGGGGCUGGCUGUGGCUGUGACUCUUUCACUUGUCAUCUUGGUCCUGGUUCUCAUUGCACUGCGUUGGAGGAAGAAGAUAUGUAAGAGGAGCUGAAGUGGAUUGCAGAGGAUGUCCAUUCAUCUCCUGGAUCAUUACAGCCUAGCAUCCCAAAGUCAACACUAAAAGCAGAGACCUGCAUGACUGGAAAGUAGCAGCAGUAAAAGGGAAAUACAUCAAGACCAAAGCUCUGAGCCCUCUAGCCAGCGUCUUCAUUGCUGAAAGACUAGCAUGAUAUUUGAUUCCUGAUCUAAACACUACAUCACAAGGAAAGAGGACCAGAGGGAAUGCUCAGACCUCUCUUCUGCUGCCAGACAAUAUCUGCUCUGCUCGUGCCAUUCCUGAUACUGCUAGUCUGCAAAUGCAUUUGCCUUCUUCCCAUGGAAGCUGUGAGCAAACUGGGGGUCCUCUUCCAGUGCAUAACUGCUCUCAGUAAAGAGCUGGGGGGAUUAUUUUACUAAUAGCUUUCUGCAUGUUACGUUUUGCAACUCAGCAACUCAUCAUUUUCUUCCUGUCAUCUCCUUUUCUUCUUUCUUAUCCAGCUAAUGCAGCUCCUUCUCCUUGCUGAAAGUGUCAACAGCUGUAUUUCUGAGCUACCUCUAGAGAGAUCUGCUGCUGGAGGUCUCAAACCACACCAAAUCUCCUGAAAUUAUUGAUAAAAGAUUUUUUUCAGAAGAUGGGCUGAAGUUAGCAGGAAAAUGGGCACUGGGCGAGAAUGUGCAUAUUGAUCAUCAGUGUUUAACGCUCAAAAGGGCUGUUGAGCACAUGAAAGAAUGCAAUGCCAAGAAAACGCACCAAGCUUUGAUGGACACAUUGCAGAGUAUUUUCUCGGACACCUCAGAAGAUAUAGCAGUGAGAAAUGCCUGGAUGUGAGAGAAACUUGGCAUAUUUUCAUGUCUGCCUUGAAUAACCCAUCCUGCUGGGUUGCUCGCCUUUUGCCUACAAGUGGGUGUAGCUCACUGUGGUUUUGCAUGAGCGGUCAUGCAGGAAGAGGUGAGACCCACCAAACCACAGUUUGCCUCGCUCCCUGUGAGCAAUGCUGUUGAUAUAACGACCCAGCUCAGACAGGGAAGGAUUUCUAGUGGCUGCCACUGAUUUCCUACAGGAGGGCACUGUGGAAGGAAGGAGAGGUGGUACGCAUGGGGAAAGAUCAAAGUGCUUUCAGAGAUCUGCAGUAGUAUCGCAUUCUUCUUUCGAUUACGUGAGUGCAGCUGAAGACCUGGAGCAGCAGUGAUGAGGUGCAUGCACUGCAGCUACUCCCUUCCCUAUUCUCAUAGGAAGCUCCUGCGUUGAGGGAAGAAGUUCCCGGAGCUUUCUGUGCUGGUGAAAGAGGCAGCUGUGCUAAUUCUGAUACCGAGUAUUCUCUUACAAACUGAGAUGCUGCAAAACUCCUCAGAAGAGCAGAAAAGGAAGACUUACACCUCUGUCUGACACAGUUAAAAUCUCUCCCUGUGCACUUAUCAGCUUGCAUAUCUCUGUGAAACUCUGUGCUUCAGCGAGGGCUACAUCACUAGGCAACUACUGCAAAGAAACAUGAGUUCUACAGGAUUUCAGGGAAGAAUUCUUCCUCUACUUUUGUUCACUUCUGAGUUUGCUUCUUGGCACCCUCUUCCUUAAUGUGAGGUCAGCCAGAGUACUUUCACAGUUUUUCCUGUCUGUUUUGUCAUUUGUUUCUGUUUCGCAGGCUUACAGCUCCGAAGUUUUUCCAAGAGAGAAGAGAAACCAAACUGGAAGAUGAGAGCAUUGCACAGGCACCAAAUGCUGUUUCUGUUCAACCUUUGUUUCAUCGAGAAAAGUGGGUGUCUAAAAUCAAAGCACGCAUUACUUCCCAUCACUUGUAAUCUGAGACUAGUGUUUUAGUGGAGUCUGCUGCCAGACUACAGAGAAAAGGAAACUUAGUGGAUCACCAGGUUUUUCAGCCUCUGAGAAAGAUAACCAACCAAGCACCAAGAGACAGGAUAGAAGCAUGAAGGUGGUAAUUAACCACAUAGCUGAUUUUGGACUGUUACUAUGCUACCAGAAAAACAUGCUGGGAGAAGCCAUCAUCCACCGUGAAUGAGUUUUCUUGUAUAAGGAAUCCACUUGUUUAUGAGACUCACUUUAAACAAUAACAGAAUCACAAAAUCACAGAGUUGUAGGAGUUGGAAAGGACCUCUAGAAAUCAUCGAGUCCAACCUCUUCUGCUAAAGGAGUUCCCUGCAGCAGGUCACACAGGAAAGUGUCCAGGUUGGUUUUGAAUAUCUCCAGAGGAGACUCCACAACAUCUCUGGGCAGCCUGCUCCAAUGCUCUGCCACCCUCACAAUAAAGAAGUUCUUCCUCAUGUACGUAUGGAACUUCCUGUGUUCCAGUUUGUGCCUAUUUCUGUUGUCCUGUCACUGGGCUCUGCUGAAAGAGUCUGGCCACAUCCACUUGACUCCUGCCCUUUAGAUAUUUAUCAACAAUGAUGAGAUCCCUCUCAGUCUUCUCCAGAGGGAAUAGUCUCUCAGCCUUUCUUCAUAAGGGAGAUGCUCCAGGCCCCUAAUACUCUUUCUGGCCUUUCACUGGACUCUCUCAAGAAGAUCCUGUCUUUCUUGAGUGAGGAGCCCAGAACUGGAUGCAUACAGAGUGGCCUCACUGGGGCAAAGUAGCUGGGGAGGACCUCUUCCCUCAACCUGUUGUCCACACUUUUCAAUGAAACCCAACUUUUAGAGUCCAACUGGUCCCAGUAUUGUUCUGGUAAUGAGGAAGAGCUCCAGAGUGAAAAUGUUGGACUCUGAUUAUGCUUUGCUGUCAUUCAGCAGCACUCAUCCUUCCACCUCUGUCUUGAACAACUGUGUGACUGGUCUUUCCUUGCAGUAAUGAACUAGACAGUGUAUAACCAAGUAGUUAGCAAUACAGAUUUUGUUCUCAGAGUUUCUUUGAACUUUAGUUUCAACUAGACAAUCCCUGGCACCAAAUCCAAGAAAAGAAAAACAUGAGAAAAAUCGUGAUGUGUGGGGAUUGGUUAUAUAUUCAUAAAGCCACUAAUCAGUUUCUUUUCUCUCUCAUUUUUGUUAGGCUUUCUUUGUCUACUUUCAGGUCUUAUCUCCAUAUGAACACUGAUAGCAGAUAAAUCAAGACAACAGCUUCCUUCAUUUUUAGGAGUUUUGUUAAAAUUGACUUUCUCCCUCUGACAUGAAUAUCAGUUUAUAUCUCAAUCAAAUCUGGAAUUGUAGUUUAGAGAGAAAAUACAUAAAAUAUGUGUAGAAGAUUUUCCUAUGUCAUCCUUCUCACAGACACUUUCUGUUACUUUUAGAUUUAUUUCAGAUUAUUGUUUACUACGCAAUCAUUAAUAAUUUACAGAAGUAAAGGCUUUUGUUUGGUAGUGAUUUGUUAUAACUGGAAUAAUGAAAAUAAUUAUAUGUAUCUUAUCUCCAGUUCUUCAGUUUUGUAAAGUUCUGCUAAACUCAAGUGUUCAAGCUGUAAUAUAUCUCUUUUACUUUGGGUCUUACCAUUGAAUGACCUGACCUUUUAAUAAAGAUUUUUGUUUCCUA